CUUAGAAGCAGCCAUCAUUUAAAGAAAGCGUAAUAGCUCACUGGUCGAGUCGGCCUGCGCGGAAGAUGUAACGGGGCUAAACCAUGCACCGAAGCUGCGGCAGCGACACUGUGUGUUGUUGGGUAGGGGAGCGUUCUGUAAGCCUGUGAAGGUGGCCUGUGAGGGUUGCUGGAGGUAUCAGAAGUGCGAAUGCUGACAUAAG
Molecule: ribosomal RNA, 202 nt
Filed under: Salmonella enterica subsp. enterica serovar Worthington str. BCH-5715
Lineage: Bacteria; Pseudomonadati; Pseudomonadota; Gammaproteobacteria; Enterobacterales; Enterobacteriaceae
Description: partial 23S ribosomal RNA
Rfam family: Bacterial large subunit ribosomal RNA
Source: RNAcentral